GACGAACGCUGGCGGCAUGCCUAAUACAUGCAAGUCGAGCGAACAGAUGAAGUGCUUGCACUUCUGACGUUAGCGGCGAACGGGUGAGUAACACGUAAGGAAUCUACCUAUAAGCGGGGGAUAACAUUCGGAAACGGGUGCUAAUACCGCAUAAUAUCUUCUUCCGCAUGGAAGAAGAUUGAAAGACGGCUCUGCUGUCACUUAUAGAUGACCUUGCGGUGCAUUAGUUAGUUGGUGGGGUAACGGCCUACCAAGACGAUGAUGCAUAGCCGACCUGAGAGGGUGAUCGGCCACAGUGGGACUGAGACACGGCCCAAACUCCUACGGGAGGCAGCAGUAGGGAAUCUUCCGCAAUGGGCGAAAGCCUGACGGAGCAAUGCCGCGUGAGUGAAGAAGGCCUUCGGGUCGUAAAACUCUGUUAUAAGAGAAGAACAAAUUGUAGAGUAACUGCUACAGUCUUGACGGUAUCUUAUCAGAAAGCCACGGCUAACUACGUGCCAGCAGCCGCCGCCG
RNAcentral lists this ribosomal RNA (513 nucleotides) under uncultured bacterium. RNAcentral describes it as "partial 16S ribosomal RNA". It matches the Rfam family "Bacterial small subunit ribosomal RNA", at positions 28 to 523 of the family's 1533-position model. The record is from RNAcentral.